The sequence is a transfer RNA, 73 nucleotides long. It matches the Rfam family "tRNA". Rfam says of the family: Transfer RNA (tRNA) molecules are approximately 80 nucleotides in length. The record is from Rfam.
GCUUUCAUGGCCAAGUUGGUAAGGCGCCACACUAGUAAUGUGGAGAUCAUCAGUUCGAAUCUGGUUGAAAGCA